AGUGAACGCUGGCGGUAGGCCUAACACAUGCAAGUCGAACGGCAGCACAGUAAGAGCUUGCUCUUACGGGUGGCGAGUGGCGGACGGGUGAGGAAUACAUCGGAAUCUACUUUUUCGUGGGGGAUAACGUAGGGAAACUUACGCUAAUACCGCAUACGACCUACGGGUGAAAGCAGGGGAUCUUCGGACCUUGCGCGAUUGAAUGAGCCAAUGUCGGAUUAGCUAGUUGGCGGGGUAAAGGCCCACCAAGGCGACGAUCCGUAGCUGGUCUGAGAGGAUGAUCAGCCACACUGGAAGUGAGACACGGUCCAGACUCCUACGGGAGGCAGCAGUGGGGAAUAUUGGACAAUGGGCGCAAGCCUGAUCCAGCCAUACCGCGUGGGUGAAGAAGGCCUUCGGGUUGUAGAGCCCUUUUGUUGGGAAAGAAAAGCAGCAGGUUAAUACCCCGCUGUUCUGACGGUACCCAAAGAAUAAGCACCGGCUAACUUCGUG
RNAcentral lists this ribosomal RNA (492 nucleotides) under uncultured bacterium. RNAcentral's name for it is "partial 16S ribosomal RNA". It matches the Rfam family "Bacterial small subunit ribosomal RNA", at positions 29 to 507 of the family's 1533-position model. The record is from RNAcentral.